GCCAGCCCGCUCAGAACUCAAAGGAAUUGACGGGGCCCGCACAAGCGGUGGAGUAUGUGGUUUAAUCGAUGCAACGCGAAGAACCUUACCUGGUCUUGACAUCCCGGAGACCCUUAGGAAACUAGGGGGUGCUUCCAUCUGGAAGAAUCUGGAGACAGGUGCUGCAUGGCUGUCGUCAGCUCGUGUCGUGAGAUGUUGGGUUAAGUCCCGCAACGAGCGCAACCCUUGCCUUUAGUUGCCAGCAGUUCGGCUGGGCACUCUAAAGGGACUGCCGGUGUUAAACCGGAGGAAGGUGGGGAUGACGUCAAGUCCUCAUGGCCUUUAUGACCAGGGCUACACACGUACUACAAUGGCCGAUACAAAGGGCAGCGACACUGCGAGGUGAAGCCAAUCCCGUAAAAUCGGUCUCAGUCCGGAUUGGAGUCUGCAACUCGACUCCAUGAAGUUGGAAUCGCUAGUAAUCGUGGAUCAGCAUGCCACGGUGAAUACGUUCCCGGGCCUU
Molecule: ribosomal RNA, 502 nt
Filed under: uncultured Desulfobulbus sp.
Lineage: Bacteria; Pseudomonadati; Thermodesulfobacteriota; Desulfobulbia; Desulfobulbales; Desulfobulbaceae
Description: bacterial SSU rRNA
Rfam family: Bacterial small subunit ribosomal RNA
Source: RNAcentral